UACGUAGGUGGCAAGCGUUGUCCGGAUUUAUUGGGUUUAAAGGGUGCGUAGGCGGUCAUGUAAGUCAGUGCUGAAAUAUCCCGGCUUAACCGGGAGGGUGGCAUUGAUACUGUAUGACUUGAGUAAAGUUGAGGUUGGCGGAAUUGACGGUGUAGCGGUGAAAUGCGUUGAUAUCAUCAGGAACACCGGUGGCGAAGGCGGCUUACUGGAUCUCGUCUGACGCUGAUGCACGAAAGCUAGGGGAGCGAACGGG
Molecule: ribosomal RNA, 253 nt
Filed under: uncultured bacterium
Lineage: Bacteria
Description: partial 16S ribosomal RNA
Rfam family: Bacterial small subunit ribosomal RNA
Source: RNAcentral